AUCCAGAUGACGAAUCCCAAAUAGGACGAAAUGCCCAUCCUGGAU
Molecule: non-coding RNA, 45 nt
Filed under: Trichobilharzia regenti
Lineage: Eukaryota; Metazoa; Platyhelminthes; Trematoda; Strigeidida; Schistosomatidae
Source: RNAcentral